AAUGAACGCUGGCGGCGCGCCUAAUACAUGCAAGUCGAGCGAGAAGGCGUAGCAAUACGUUUGUAAAGCGGCGAACGGGUGAGGAAUACAUGGGUAACCUACCCUCGAGUGGGGAAUAACUAGCCGAAAGGUUAGCUAAUACCGCGUACGCUCCUUGGACUUCGGUUCAGGGAGGAAAGCGAUACCGUGGGUAUCGCGCUCUUGGUUGGGCUCAUGUCCUAUCAGCUUGUUGGUGAGGUAACGGCUCACCAAGGCUUCGACGGGUAGCUGGUCUGAGAGGACGAUCAGCCACACUGGCACUGCGACACGGGCCAGACUCCUACGGGAGGCAGCAGUAAGGAAUAUUGCGCAAUGGGCGAAAGCCUGACGCAGCGACGCCGCGUGGGGGAUGAAGGUCUUCGGAUUGUAAACCCCUUUCGGG
Molecule: ribosomal RNA, 421 nt
Filed under: uncultured bacterium
Lineage: Bacteria
Description: bacterial SSU rRNA
Rfam family: Bacterial small subunit ribosomal RNA
Source: RNAcentral